This is a non-coding RNA of Gossypium raimondii (Peruvian cotton), 109 nucleotides long. The record is from Rfam. Lineage: Eukaryota; Viridiplantae; Streptophyta; Magnoliopsida; Malvales; Malvaceae.
UAUUAAAAAUUUCAUCCAUUUGUUUUGUUAAAAACUAGCAUGGUUGAUGAAAUAACCAGCCUCUUUCAACCUCAUGUUUUAACGGUAGAAAUGAAUGAAUUUGUUAACA